Molecule: transfer RNA, 72 nt
Filed under: Antarctobacter aquimaris
Lineage: Bacteria; Pseudomonadati; Pseudomonadota; Alphaproteobacteria; Rhodobacterales; Roseobacteraceae
Description: Maliponia aquimaris tRNA-Gly
Source: RNAcentral
GCAGGCCUGGGCGGCGGGCACCAACGCCGCGACCGGCGGCGCGGCGGGAUGGUUCGGCGUCGCCGGCCUGAC